AUUGGCAACGAUGAAAUAGGGGGUACACCUGUUCCCAUACCGAACACAGAAGUUAAGCCCUAUGAUGCAGAAGAUACUUUAGGUGAGAAUCUAGGGGAAAAUAUGGGGUUGCCAAUU
This is a non-coding RNA of Clostridium sp. CAG:465, 117 nucleotides long. Lineage: Bacteria; Bacillati; Bacillota; Clostridia; Eubacteriales; Clostridiaceae. The record is from Rfam.